This 247-nucleotide ribosomal RNA is filed under the name uncultured Burkholderia sp. RNAcentral describes it as "partial 16S ribosomal RNA". It matches the Rfam family "Bacterial small subunit ribosomal RNA", at positions 796 to 1041 of the family's 1533-position model. The record is from RNAcentral. Lineage: Bacteria; Pseudomonadati; Pseudomonadota; Betaproteobacteria; Burkholderiales; Burkholderiaceae.
CACGCCCUAAACGAUGUCAACUAGUUGUUGGGGAUUCAUUUCCUUAGUAACGUAGCUAACGCGUGAAGUUGACCGCCUGGGGAGUACGGUCGCAAGAUUAAAACUCAAAGGAAUUGACGGGGACCCGCACAAGCGGUGGAUGAUGUGGAUUAAUUCGAUGCAACGCGAAAAACCUUACCUACCCUUGACAUGGUCGGAAUCCUGCUGAGAGGUGGGAGUGCUCGAAAGAGAACCGAUACACAGGUGC